Molecule: ribosomal RNA, 250 nt
Filed under: uncultured bacterium
Lineage: Bacteria
Description: partial 16S ribosomal RNA
Rfam family: Bacterial small subunit ribosomal RNA
Source: RNAcentral
GACGAAGGUGGCAAGCGUUGUUCGGAUUCACUGGGCAUAAAGGGCGCGUAGGCGGUUCCGAAAGUGGCCUGUGAAAUCCCCCGGCUCAACCGGGGAAGUGCGGGCCAAACUUCGGUCCUUGAGGCUGGGAGGGGAGACUGGAACUCUCGGUGGAGCGGUGAAAUGCGUAGAUAUCGAGAGGAACACCGGUGGCGAAGGCGAGUCUCUGGUCCAGCUCUGACGCUGAGGCGCGAAAGCGUGGGUAGCAAAC